This 1447-nucleotide ribosomal RNA is filed under the name Hafnia alvei. RNAcentral's name for it is "bacterial SSU rRNA". It matches the Rfam family "Bacterial small subunit ribosomal RNA". The record is from RNAcentral. Lineage: Bacteria; Pseudomonadati; Pseudomonadota; Gammaproteobacteria; Enterobacterales; Hafniaceae.
AUUGAACGCUGGCGGCAGGCCUAACACAUGCAAGUCGAGCGGUAGCACAAGAGAGCUUGCUCUCUGGGUGACGAGCGGCGGACGGGUGAGUAAUGUCUGGGAAACUGCCUGAUGGAGGGGGAUAACUACUGGAAACGGUAGCUAAUACCGCAUGACGUCUUCGGACCAAAGUGGGACCUUCGGGCCUCACGCCAUCAGAUGUGCCCAGAUGGGAUUAGCUAGUAGGUGGGGUAAUGGCUCACCUAGGCGACGAUCUCUAGCUGGUCUGAGAGGAUGACCAGCCACACUGGAACUGAGACACGGUCCAGACUCUACGGGAGGCAGCAGUGGGGAAUAUUGCACAAUGGGCGCAAGCCUGAUGCAGCCAUGCCGCGUGUAUGAAGAAGGCCUUCGGGUUGUAAAGUACUUCAGCGAGGAGAGGCAUUGUGGUAAUAACCGCAGUGAUUGACGUUACUCGCAGAAGAAGCACCGGCUAACUCCGUGCCAGCAGCCGCGGUAAUACGGAGGGUGCAAGCGUUAAUCGGAAUUACUCGGCGUAAGCGCACGCAGGCGGUUGAUUAAGUCAGAUGUGAAAUCCCCGAGCUUAACUUGGGAACUGCAUUUGAAACUGGUCAGCUGAGUCUUGUAGAGGGGGGUAGAAUUCCAGGUGUAGCGGUGAAAUGCGUAGAGAUCUGGAGGAAUACCGGUGGCGAAGGCGGCCCCCUGGACAAAGACUGACGCUCAGGUGCGAAAGCGUGGGGAGCAAACAGGAUUAGAUACCCUGGUAGUCCACGCUGUAAACGAUGUCGACUUCGAGGUUGUGCCCUUGAGGCGUGGCUUCCGGAGCUAACGCGUUAAGUCGACCGCCUGGGGAGUACGGCCGCAAGGUUAAAACUCAAAUGAAUUGACGGGGGCGCACAAGCGGUGGAGCAUGUGGUUUAAUUCGAUGCAACGCGAAGAACCUUACCUACUCUUGACAUCCAGAGAAAUUGCUAGAGAUAGCUUAGUGCCUUCGGGAACUCUGAGACAGGUGCUGCAUGGCUGUCGUCAGCUCGUGUUGUGAAAUGUUGGGUUAAGUCGCAACGAGCGCAACCCUUAUCCUUUGUUGCCAGCGCGUAAUGGCGGGAACUCAAAGGAGACUGCCGGUGAUAAACCGGAGGUGGGGAUGACGUCAAGUCAUCAUGGCCCUUACGAGUAGGGCUACACACGUGCUACAAUGGCAUAUACAAAGAGAAGCGAACUCGCGAGAGCAAGCGGACCUCAUAAAGUAUGUCGUAGUCCGGAUUGGAGUCUGCAACUCGACUCCAUGAAGUCGGAAUCGCUAGUAAUCGUAGAUCAGAAUGCUACGGUGAAUACGUUCCCGGGCCUUGUACACACCGCCCGUCACACCAUGGGAGUGGGUUGCAAAAGAAGUAGGUAGCUUAACCUUCGGGAGGGCGCUUACCACUUGUGAUUCAUGACUUGGGUG